RNAcentral lists this ribosomal RNA (433 nucleotides) under uncultured bacterium. RNAcentral's name for it is "partial 16S ribosomal RNA". It matches the Rfam family "Bacterial small subunit ribosomal RNA", at positions 29 to 507 of the family's 1533-position model. The record is from RNAcentral.
AACGAACGCUGGCGGCAUGCCUAACACAUGCAAGUCGAACGAUGCCUCCGGGCAUAUUGGCGCACGGGUUCUUAACGCGUGGUAAUCUGCCCUUGGGUUCGGAAUAACUCGCCGAAAGGCGAGCUAAUACCGGAUGAUGACGUAAGUCCAAAGAUUUAUCGCCCAAGGAUGAGCCCGCGUAGGAUUAGCUAGUUGGUGGGGUAAAGGCCCACCAAGGCGACGAUCCUUAGCUGGUCUGAGAGGAUGAUCAGCCACACUGGGACUGAGACACGGCCCAGACUCCUACGGGAGGGAGCAGUGGGGAAUAUUGGACAAUGGGGGAAAGCAUGAUCCAGCAAUGCCGGGUGAGUGAUGAAGGGCUUAGGGUUGUAAAGCUCUUUUACCCGGGAUGAUAAUGACAGUACCGGGAGAAUAAGCUCCGGCUAACUACGUG